RNAcentral lists this ribosomal RNA (575 nucleotides) under Neisseria elongata. RNAcentral's name for it is "bacterial SSU rRNA". It matches the Rfam family "Bacterial small subunit ribosomal RNA", at positions 35 to 599 of the family's 1533-position model. Lineage: Bacteria; Pseudomonadati; Pseudomonadota; Betaproteobacteria; Neisseriales; Neisseriaceae. The record is from RNAcentral.
GCUGGCGGCAUGCUUUACACAUGCAAGUCGGACGGCAGCGGGGUAGUGCUUGCACUACUGCCGGCGAGUGGCGAACGGGUGAGUAAUAUAUUGGAACGUACCGAGUAAUGGGGGAUAACCAAUCGAAAGAUUGGCUAAUACCGCAUACGCUCUGAGGAGGAAAGCAGGGGACCUUCGGGCCUUGCGUUAUUCGAGCGGCCAAUAUCUGAUUAGCUAGUUGGUGGGGUAAAGGCCUACCAAGGCGACGAUCAGUAGCGGGUCUGAGAGGAUGAUCCGCCACACUGGGACUGAGACACGGCCCAGACUCCUACGGGAGGCAGCAGUGGGGAAUUUUGGACAAUGGGCGCAAGCCUGAUCCAGCCAUGCCGCGUGUCUGAAGAAGGCCUUCGGGUUGUAAAGGACUUUUGUUAGGGAAGAAAAAGGAGCGGUUAAUACCCGUUUCUGCUGACGGUACCUAAAGAAUAAGCACCGGCUAACUACGUGCCAGCAGCCGCGGUAAUACGUAGGGUGCGAGCGUUAAUCGGAAUUACUGGGCGUAAAGCGAGCGCAGACGGUUACUUAAGCAGGAUGUGAAA